GAGAGGCUUGUGGCAUGGAAGCAAAGUAGUUAUGAGUUUGGCAUUAAAGAGAGAGAGAUGGCUGUGAUUUCCUAUGAGAAACAUGGGUUUAAGGUAAAAGGAGAAGGGUAUUUUGAGAAGAUCGUUGAAGAGAAAGAGAGAGAGAGAGAUGGGAAGAACAAAUGGGUGUGUUGAGUAAUUUUUCGGCAACCUAACAAAAGCUAUGUCAGACUCUGGAAUGGCUUGCCAGAAGAGGGAGAUGGAGGAAUAGGGUAUGAAAUUGCAGGGCUUUAGGGAUGAGAGAUAAUGCUUGCUCUCUGGAUGUGGGUUGUUGAGAUGAUGGGUAGGAAAUAGCCCUUUUUAUAGUCUCUAGAAGCUCCUCCUUCCCAAGAAACCCGAAUGGGUUCUCUCCAAUUUUGCCAAGUUUCCCCUUUCAUUUCUCUUCUCUCC
RNAcentral lists this long non-coding RNA (429 nucleotides) under Prunus persica (peach). RNAcentral describes it as "long non-coding RNA (PPER_LNC003505)". The record is from RNAcentral. Lineage: Eukaryota; Viridiplantae; Streptophyta; Magnoliopsida; Rosales; Rosaceae.